GACGAACGCUGGCGGCGUGCUUAACACAUGCAAGUCGAACGGAAAGGCCCUGCUUGCAGGGUACUCGAGUGGCGAACGGGUGAGUAACACGUGGGUGAUCUGCCCUGCACUUCGGGAUAAGCCUGGGAAACUGGGUCUAAUACCGGAUAGGAGCCAUUUUUAGUGUGAUGGUUGGAAAGUUUUUUCGGUGUAGGAUGAGCUCGCGGCCUAUCAGCUUGUUAGUGGGGUAAUGGCCUACCAAGGCGGCGACGGGUAGCCGGCCUGAGAGGGUGGACGGCCACAUUGGGACUGAGAUACGGCCCAGACUCCUACGGGAGGCAGCAGUGGGGAAUAUUGCACAAUGGGCGCAAGCCUGAUGCAGCGACGCCGCGUGGGGGAGGACGGCCUUCGGGUUGUAAACGCCUUUCGCUAGGGACGAAGCUUUUUGUGACGGUACCUAGAGAAGAAGCACCGGCUAACUACGUG
Molecule: ribosomal RNA, 465 nt
Filed under: uncultured bacterium
Lineage: Bacteria
Description: partial 16S ribosomal RNA
Rfam family: Bacterial small subunit ribosomal RNA
Source: RNAcentral